AAGGGAAAAAGGAGGGAGAACAGAGAGGAUUGUGUGAACAGCAAAUACGGAUGUGCUUUACUGGAGAGAAAAACCUGGAGAGGGUGGGAGAAGACUAAAUUGGCAAAAUGUUUCUCAAAGGCCUGAGGCUGACUUACAGGGAAGAAAACAACCAAACAUAAAGCAUAUUGUGCCCUUCACCACCCCUGAGCAAUGAAGCGCAGCAUCGGAAGCUUUUGUGAGGCAGGUGGCAUGCCAAAGUCCACGCAGCAGCUGUGCCGACCCUGGGCAUUUUGAAUGCCUAAAGAAAACACACAUGCUGUUCUUCAGGUCUAAGCAGUUUGUGGUUUGCCUGGGGCCUUCAGCAGCAAGGAGAGGAGAGGAGCAGCAUGGCAGCUCUGCUGCUGGCCAGCAGUGUGGAGGACUCGCUGCUCAGAUGUCUGAAGCAGAAGGUUCAGCUGUUUUGGUGCCCGUGCUGCCAGUCAUGCUCCGCUGGUCACUGCCACCAGAGAGCCCUACAGACCGAGCCCCGCUGCAGCCCUGUGCUGGGUGACCCGGCGGCAUCUGCCAGCCACAUUUCCUGCAGCAGCUUAGCAGAUAUUGACACACCAACAACAGUUCAGUGACCGUGACGGGUUCCUCCCACACUGCAGCACCUAUGAUUUGUAUUAAAAUGGCAUACCAAGUGCUGCAAGUUCUAAAUAAGGGAGGUUCCCUCUCCUAGGCGGUGUACCAUCCAAGGCUAGAGGGAUUGCUGCACUCCUGCUACCCAUGGUCCAUGGCAGACUGGGAUAGAAUUCAGAGCUUCUAAAUCCUAGAUUAGCGAACUAACAAGAUUAUCCUUUCACUCUGAAAACAAGAUUGAGAGAGAGAUUUUGGUAACACCCAAAACUAUUUACAUUAAAUUUCCUGGAACUGUAAAACAUUUUAAUUUUAUGCUUAAGGAAAAAACCAACCUACCUCUGUUAGCAGAGUGUAAAAGUCCCAUCUUGAUCACACAGAUACAGGCACGUGUCAGUUACAAAGCUGUUUGAAAGUUAUACUACUGACAUGUCUUUGAUUUUUAAUAGGUCCUGUGACCUACUAUGAAUGCCUUCAUAAUGAAAAUAACUUGUUCCAUGAAAGAGCAGAUGUUCUAGUACUUAAAUACUUGCUGCUGCCAUGCCAAAGUCUUCUGCUUAAUGGCAUUAGAAGCAGCAGUUUGUCCUGAUCAAUAGUUCUGCUAACAUUCUAGAUGCCACAGAGAGCCAGAACAGGUGGAUCUCCCAUAAGAAAGAGUUUUUAUGGGCCGGGUUUUGUACAAAGUGCUGGGUGUAUACAGUUCUGCCGAGCAACUUCCGGCAUUGGGUACUUAGGCUUCCCUCCACCUUUCUACUACAAAUUCUUUUAUGACAUUUAUGAUAUGUUUAUUUGAAGAAUUGUGUUACGCCCAAGCAAUAUAGCUGUAGCCUGACCAAAGCAAUGAAUUGUCUAAGGGAAAGAAAAAGUCACAGGCAAAUCUUAAAUUUAAAGUAUACCUUUGGCACAGAAAUCUCUAAAUCCAAAGGUGCCUUCAGCUGAUCUCUCACACUUUCCCUAGUUUCUCUUGCAGCAGAGGUGGACCUCUUCUAUUCCAUUCUCUUCACAUAUUUUCCAAUAGACCAAUUCCCCUCUUUACAAUAUUGCUACCUGCAGCCUCUCUGUGUUUUGAGGUCUGCUGAGGAUGAAGAAACAGAGUGCCCCUCUGUGACCAUUUUCUUGCAGAUGUAAGAACAUUGAAGCAGAUAAAUCCUGUGCAUGUCUGUGAGUGGUAUGAGGGUGCCCACAGGCCAGGCUGAAUGGGGCCUUUGAGCAACCUGAUCCAGUGGGUGGCAUCUCUACCCACAGCAGGGGAGUUGGAUGUAGAUAAUCUUUAAGAUCCCUCCCUACACAAGCCAUUUGAUCAUACUAUAUUAGGGCCUGGCCUCCAUGGGCCUCCUUCCCACACACUUUGGUCGAACCAUGGCAGCACUUCAGUGCAAUGACAGAGGUGUCCAGACUGCUCCUCUCCUCAUGGCAGAACGUUGUGGAUAGUCACUGUUAGCAUCACACAGCAUCGUGCCCUCCUGGUUGCCUGCUGUGCGUGUGGGGGAUGUAUAUACCCAUCAAGAGACUACUUAUGUACCCUAUAUGGGGACAAAAGCUAUGUCCAGCCAUGUCACAUGGGUGGAUGUGCACUCAACAUUUGAUGGGAGUUGCGAAGUUUCACCAUGUCAGCUUUAUACUUAGUACAUACCAUGGAAGGAGCUUUAUCCAUGUCUCCCUUCACUGUUCCCCUUAAAAGGCUCCCUUGUCCCGAGCUGGUGUCAGAGUGCUUUAUUUCAACUCCAAACACCAAUUUUUGAGUACAAUGAGGGCUGUGCCCAGGAGCUGGUGGGACUGCCUAGCAUGGCCUUGAGGAGAGAGAGGAGAAAAGAUGUGUUUGCUUGUAUGUUAGGAAUAUGACCGGUGGAGAAACUGCCAUUAACAUGCUUGCAGAACUGGAUCUGUUCUCCCAUCUGUAUUUAUCACAAUGAGAAAGACUACCUGUACUAUCCAGUAUAACAACAACAACAACAAAAGCAGCAAAAAUAACAAUAAUACAUCUUAGCCCAAUUCCAUGAGACUUUAUCGCUUUGUCAUUUAGUUUAUUAGUAUUAUUAAUACUAAUAAAUUUCCAGCAAAUUUCCA
RNAcentral lists this long non-coding RNA (2667 nucleotides) under Zonotrichia albicollis (white-throated sparrow). Its description in RNAcentral is "lncRNA (ENSZALG00000013412.1)". Lineage: Eukaryota; Metazoa; Chordata; Aves; Passeriformes; Passerellidae. The record is from RNAcentral.